CGAAAGCGAGUCUGAAUAGGGCGACUGAGUUCGAUGAAUUAGACCCGAACCCCGGCGAUCUAGGCAUGGCCAGGUUGAAGGUGCGGUAACACGCACUGGAGGACCGAACCGGUGAAUGUUGAAAAAUUCUCGGAUGAGCUGUGUUUAGGGGUGAAAGGCCAAUCAAGCCGGGAAAUAGCUGGUUCUCCGCGAAAUCUAUUGAGGUAGAGCGUCGGAUGUAUGCCGAUGGGGGUAGAGCACUGGAUGGGCUAGGGCUGCGCGAGCGGUACCAAACCUAACCAAACUCCGAAUACCAUCGAGUCUUAUCCGGCAGACAGACGGCGGGUGCUAAGGUCCGUCGUCAAAAGGGAAACAGCCCUAACCUACAGCUAAGGUCCCCAAGUCAUAUCUAAGUGGGAAAGCAUGUGGGAAUCCCAAAACAACCAGGAGGUUGGCUUAGAAG
RNAcentral lists this ribosomal RNA (442 nucleotides) under Ditylum brightwellii. RNAcentral describes it as "partial Bacterial large subunit ribosomal RNA". It matches the Rfam family "Bacterial large subunit ribosomal RNA", at positions 672 to 1112 of the family's 2925-position model. The record is from RNAcentral. Lineage: Eukaryota; Bacillariophyta; Thalassiosirophyceae; Lithodesmiales; Lithodesmiaceae.